UUUUCUCUUCUGACUAGGAUUUUUAGGGCUGAUGGAGGAGGAGUUUAAAUACUCAUGCCCACAAGAUCCCGACCCUUCGAUCGGGUUGACAUGGCACGUGAAGGGUCGUUCAAUCAUAAGCACGCAAAUCACUAGUGUGUGAUCCUGCAUAAGGCACCCUACUAGCAUAACCACCAUAUGACGUAAUCCGAUUAGCCGAGCUACCACGUGGGUUAUCCUACGUGGCCUGCUUUUCUAAAAUUGUAGAGUGGCCCUUGGUCACUUCAAAUCCUUUCAAAUGAGUCCCUUUUAAUUUAAAAAAUAUCCUAACAUCAAAAUUUAAUUUUCAAGAAAGCCA
RNAcentral lists this long non-coding RNA (337 nucleotides) under Carica papaya (papaya). Its description in RNAcentral is "long non-coding RNA (CPAP_LNC013624)". Lineage: Eukaryota; Viridiplantae; Streptophyta; Magnoliopsida; Brassicales; Caricaceae. The record is from RNAcentral.